This 2918-nucleotide ribosomal RNA is filed under the name Pseudomonas syringae pv. syringae. RNAcentral describes it as "bacterial LSU rRNA". It matches the Rfam family "Bacterial large subunit ribosomal RNA". Lineage: Bacteria; Pseudomonadati; Pseudomonadota; Gammaproteobacteria; Pseudomonadales; Pseudomonadaceae. The record is from RNAcentral.
GUUAUAUGGUCAAGUGAAGAAGCGCAUACGGUGGAUGCCUUGGCAGUCAGAGGCGAUGAAAGACGUGGUAGCCUGCGAAAAGCUUCGGGGAGUCGGCAAACAGACUGUGAUCCGGAGAUGUCUGAAUGGGGGAACCCAGCCAUCAUAAGAUGGUUAUCUUGUACUGAAUACAUAGGUGCAAGAGGCGAACCAGGGGAACUGAAACAUCUAAGUACCCUGAGGAAAAGAAAUCAACCGAGAUUCCCUUAGUAGUGGCGAGCGAACGGGGACCAGCCCUUAAGUUGUAUUGAGAUUAGCGGAACGUUCUGGAAAGGACGGCCAUAGUGGGUGAUAGCCCUGUACGCGAAAAUCCCUUUGCAAUGAAAUCGAGUAGGACGGGGCACGAGAAACCUUGUCUGAAUAUGGGGGGACCAUCCUCCAAGGCUAAAUACUACUGACUGACCGAUAGUGAACCAGUACCGUGAGGGAAAGGCGAAAAGAACCGCGGAGAGCGGAGUGAAAUAGAUCCUGAAACCGUAUGCGUACAAGCAGUGGGAGCCCACUUUGUUGGGUGACUGCGUACCUUUUGUAUAAUGGGUCAGCGACUUAUUUUCAGUGGCGAGCUUAACCGAAUAGGGGAGGCGUAGCGAAAGCGAGUCUUAAUAGGGCGUCUAGUCGCUGGGAAUAGACCCGAAACCGGGCGAUCUAUCCAUGGGCAGGUUGAAGGUUGGGUAACACUAACUGGAGGACCGAACCGACUACCGUUGAAAAGUUAGCGGAUGACCUGUGGAUCGGAGUGAAAGGCUAAUCAAGCUCGGAGAUAGCUGGUUCUCCUCGAAAGCUAUUUAGGUAGCGCCUCAUGUAUCACUGUAGGGGGUAGAGCACUGUUUCGGCUAGGGGGUCAUCCCGACUUACCAAACCGAUGCAAACUCCGAAUACCUACAAGUGCCGAGCAUGGGAGACACACGGCGGGUGCUAACGUCCGUCGUGAAAAGGGAAACAACCCAGACCGUCAGCUAAGGUCCCAAAGUCAUGGUUAAGUGGGAAACGAUGUGGGAAGGCUUAGACAGCUAGGAGGUUGGCUUAGAAGCAGCCACCCUUUAAAGAAAGCGUAAUAGCUCACUAGUCGAGUCGGCCUGCGCGGAAGAUGUAACGGGGCUCAAACCAUGCACCGAAGCUACGGGUAUCAUCUUAGGAUGAUGCGGUAGAGGAGCGUUCUGUAAGCCUGUGAAGGUGAGUUGAGAAGCUUGCUGGAGGUAUCAGAAGUGCGAAUGCUGACAUGAGUAACGACAAUGGGUGUGAAAAACACCCACGCCGAAAGACCAAGGUUUCCUGCGCAACGUUAAUCGACGCAGGGUUAGUCGGUCCCUAAGGCGAGGCUGAAAAGCGUAGUCGAUGGAAAACAGGUUAAUAUUCCUGUACUUCUGGUUAUUGCGAUGGAGGGACGGAGAAGGCUAGGCCAGCCUGGCGUUGGUAGUCCAGGUUUAAGGUGGUAGGCUGAGAUCUUAGGUAAAUCCGGGAUCUUAAGGCCGAGAGCUGAUGACGAGUGUUCUUUUAGAACAUGAAGUGGUUGAUGCCAUGCUUCCAAGAAAAGCUUCUAAGCUUCAGGUAACCAGGAACCGUACCCCAAACCGACACAGGUGGUUGGGUAGAGAAUACCAAGGCGCUUGAGAGAACUCGGGUGAAGGAACUAGGCAAAAUGGCACCGUAACUUCGGGAGAAGGUGCGCCGGUGGAGGUGAAGCAUUUACUGCGUAAGCCCCUGCCGGUCGAAGAUACCAGGCCGCUGCGACUGUUUAUUAAAAACACAGCACUCUGCAAACACGAAAGUGGACGUAUAGGGUGUGACGCCUGCCCGGUGCCGGAAGGUUAAUUGAUGGGGUUAGCGCAAGCGAAGCUCUUGAUCGAAGCCCCGGUAAACGGCGGCCGUAACUAUAACGGUCCUAAGGUAGCGAAAUUCCUUGUCGGGUAAGUUCCGACCUGCACGAAUGGCGUAACGAUGGCGGCGCUGUCUCCACCCGAGACUCAGUGAAAUUGAAAUCGCUGUGAAGAUGCAGUGUAUCCGCGGCUAGACGGAAAGACCCCGUGAACCUUUACUAUAGCUUUGCACUGGACUUUGAAUUUGCUUGUGUAGGAUAGGUGGGAGGCUUUGAAGCGUGGACGCCAGUCUGCGUGGAGCCAACCUUGAAAUACCACCCUGGCAACUUUGAGGUUCUAACUCAGGUCCGUUAUCCGGAUCGAGGACAGUGUAUGGUGGGUAGUUUGACUGGGGCGGUCUCCUCCUAAAGAGUAACGGAGGAGUACGAAGGUGCGCUCAGACCGGUCGGAAAUCGGUCGUAGAGUAUAAAGGCAAAAGCGCGCUUGACUGCGAGACAGACACGUCGAGCAGGUACGAAAGUAGGUCUUAGUGAUCCGGUGGUUCUGUAUGGAAGGGCCAUCGCUCAACGGAUAAAAGGUACUCCGGGGAUAACAGGCUGAUACCGCCCAAGAGUUCAUAUCGACGGCGGUGUUUGGCACCUCGAUGUCGGCUCAUCACAUCCUGGGGCUGAAGCCGGUCCCAAGGGUAUGGCUGUUCGCCAUUUAAAGUGGUACGCGAGCUGGGUUUAGAACGUCGUGAGACAGUUCGGUCCCUAUCUGCCGUGGACGUUUGAGAUUUGAGAGGGGCUGCUCCUAGUACGAGAGGACCGGAGUGGACGAACCUCUGGUGUUCCGGUUGUCACGCCAGUGGCAUUGCCGGGUAGCUAUGUUCGGAAAAGAUAACCGCUGAAAGCAUCUAAGCGGGAAACUUGCCUCAAGAUGAGAUCUCACUGGAACCUUGAGUUCCCUGAAGGGCCGUCGAAGACUACGACGUUGAUAGGUUGGGUGUGUAAGCGCUGUGAGGCGUUGAGCUAACCAAUACUAAUUGCCCGUGAGGCUUGACCAUAUAACACCCAAGCAAUU